This 305-nucleotide ribosomal RNA is filed under the name uncultured bacterium. RNAcentral's name for it is "bacterial SSU rRNA". It matches the Rfam family "Bacterial small subunit ribosomal RNA", at positions 335 to 632 of the family's 1533-position model. The record is from RNAcentral.
AAUCCUACGGGGGGCAGCAGUAGGGAAUCUUCCACAAUGGGCGAAAGCCUGAUGGAGCAACGCCGCGUGGGUGAAGAAGGUCUUCGGAUCGUAAAACCCUGUUGUUAGAGAAGAAAGUGCGUGAGAGUAACUGUUCACGUUUCGACGGUAUCUAACCAGAAAGCCACGGCUAACUACGUGCCAGCAGCCGCGGUAAUACGUAGGUGGCAAGCGUUAUCCGGAUUUACUGGGUGUAAAGGGAGCGCAGGCGGCCUUGCAAGUCUGAUGUGAAAGGCCGGGGCCCAACCCCGGGACUGCAUUGGAAA